AUUGAACGCUGGCGGCAGGCCUAACACAUGCAAGUCGAGCGGAAACGAGUUAUCUGAACCUUCGGGGAACGAUAACGGCGUCGAGCGGCGGACGGGUGAGUAAUGCCUAGGAAAUUGCCCUGAUGUGGGGGAUAACCAUUGGAAACGAUGGCUAAUACCGCAUGAUGCCUACGGGCCAAAGAGGGGGACCUUCGGGCCUCUCGCGUCAGGAUAUGCCUAGGUGGGAUUAGCUAGUUGGUGAGGUAAGGGCUCACCAAGGCGACGAUCCCUAGCUGGUCUGAGAGGAUGAUCAGCCGCACUGGAACUGAGACACGGUCCAGACUCCUACGGGAGGCAGCAGUGGGGAAUAUUGCACAAUGGGCGCAAGCCUGAUGCAGCCAUGCCGCGUGUAUGAAGAAGGCCUUCGGGUUGUAAAGUACUUUCAGUCGUGAGGAAGGCGGCGUCGUUAAUAGCGGCGUUGUUUGACGUUAGCGACAGAAGAAGCACCGGCUAACUCCGUGCCAGCAGCCGCGGUAAUACGGGGGGUGCGAGCGUUAAUCGGAAUUACUGGGCGUAAAGCGCAUGCAGGUGGUUUGUUAAGUCAGAUGUGAAAGCCCGGGGCUCAACCUCGGAAUAGCAUUUGAAACUGGCAGACUAGAGUACUGUAGAGGGGGGUAGAAUUUCAAGUGUAGCGGUGAAAUGCGUAGAGAUCUGAAGGAAUACCGGUGGCGAAGGCGGCCCCCUGGACAGAUACUGACACUCAGAUGCGAAAGCGUGGGGAGCAAACAGG
Molecule: ribosomal RNA, 769 nt
Filed under: uncultured Pseudoalteromonadaceae bacterium
Lineage: Bacteria; Pseudomonadati; Pseudomonadota; Gammaproteobacteria; Alteromonadales; Pseudoalteromonadaceae
Description: bacterial SSU rRNA
Rfam family: Bacterial small subunit ribosomal RNA
Source: RNAcentral